Molecule: ribosomal RNA, 484 nt
Filed under: uncultured bacterium
Lineage: Bacteria
Description: partial 16S ribosomal RNA
Rfam family: Bacterial small subunit ribosomal RNA
Source: RNAcentral
AUUGAACGCUGGCGGCAGGCCUAACACAUGCAAGUCGAGCGGAUGAAGGGAGCUUGCUCCUGGAUUCAGCGGCGGACGGGUGAGUAAUGCCUAGGAAUCUGCCUGGUAGUGGGGGAUAGCGUCCGGAAACGGGCGCUAAUACCGCAUACGUCCUGAGGGAGAAAGUGGGGGAUCUUCGGACCUCACGCUAUCAGAUGAGCCUAGGUCGGAUUAGCUAGUUGGUGGGGUAAAGGCCUACCAAGGCGACGAUCCGUAACUGGUCUGAGAGGAUGAUCAGUCACACUGGAACUGAGACACGGUCCAGACUCCUACGGGAGGCAGCAGUGGGGAAUAUUGGACAAUGGGCGAAAGCCUGAUCCAGCCAUGCCACGUGUGUGAAGAAGGUCUUCGGAUUGUAAAGCACUUUAAGUUGGGAGGAAGGGCAGUAAGUUAAUACCUUGCUGUUUUGACGUUACCAACAGAAUAAGCACCGGCUAACUUCGUG